RNAcentral lists this ribosomal RNA (428 nucleotides) under uncultured archaeon. Its description in RNAcentral is "bacterial SSU rRNA". It matches the Rfam family "Archaeal small subunit ribosomal RNA", at positions 474 to 903 of the family's 1478-position model. The record is from RNAcentral.
UACCUGCAGCUCGAGUGGUAACCGCUAUUAUUGGGCCUAAAGCGUCCGUAGCCGGUUUGGUAAAUAUCUGGGUAAAUCGUGAGGCUUAACUUCACGAAUUUCGGAUAGACUGCCAGACUUGGGAUCGGGGGAGGUCAGAGGUACUCCAGGGGUAGCGGUGAAAUGUUGUAAUCCUUGGAGGACCACCGGUAGCGAAGGCGUCUGACUAGAACGAGUCCGACGGUGAGGGACGAAGCCCUGGGGCGCAAACCGGAUUAGAUACCCGGGUAGUCCAGGGUGUAAACGAUGUGGGCUUUGUAUUGGAGGUCCCACGUGGGCGUCCAGUGCAGAAGAGAAGUUGUUAAGCCCACCGCCUGGGAAGUAUGGUCGCAAGGCUGAAACUUAAAGGAAUUGGCGGGGAGCACAGCAACGGGAGGAGCGUGCGGUUU